UACGGAGGGUGCGAGCGUUAAUCGGAAUUACUGGGCGUAAAGGGUGCGUAGGUUGUUAUAAAAGUUAGGUGUGAAAGUCCUGGGCUUAACCUGGGGACGGCAUUUAAUACUGUAUAGCUAGAGUACUGUAGAGGAAGGUGGAAUUUCCGGUGUAGCGGUGAAAUGCGUAGAUAUCGGAAGGAACAUCAGUGGCGAAGGCGACUUUCUGGACAGAUACUGACACUGAGGCACGAAAGCGUGGGGAGCAAACGGG
This 253-nucleotide ribosomal RNA is filed under the name uncultured bacterium. Its description in RNAcentral is "partial 16S ribosomal RNA". It matches the Rfam family "Bacterial small subunit ribosomal RNA", at positions 524 to 776 of the family's 1533-position model. The record is from RNAcentral.